GACGAACGCUGGCGGCGUGCCUAAUACAUGCAAGUAGAACGCUGAAGAGAGGAGCUUACUCUUCUUGGAUGAGUUGCGAACGGGUGAGUAACGCGUAGGUAACCUGCCUUGUAGCGGGGGAUAACUAUUGGAAACGAUAGCUAAUACCGCAUAACAAUGGAUGACACAUGUCAUUUAUUUGAAAGGGGCAAUUGCUCCACUACAAGAUGGACCUGCGUUGUAUUAGCUAGUAGGUGAGGUAAUGGCUCACCUAGGCGACGAUACAUAGCCGACCUGAGAGGGUGGUCGGCCACACUGGGACUGAGACACGGCCCAGACUCCUACGGGAGGCAGCAGUAGGGAAUCUUCGGCAAUGGGGGCAACCCUGACCGAGCAACGCCGCGUGAGUGAAGAAGGUUUUCGGAUCGUAAAGCUCUGUUGUAAGUCAAGAACGGGUGUGAGAGUGGAAAGUUCACACUGUGACGGUAGCUUACCAGAAAGAGACGGCUAACUACGUG
Molecule: ribosomal RNA, 497 nt
Filed under: uncultured bacterium
Lineage: Bacteria
Description: partial 16S ribosomal RNA
Rfam family: Bacterial small subunit ribosomal RNA
Source: RNAcentral